RNAcentral lists this ribosomal RNA (497 nucleotides) under uncultured bacterium. RNAcentral describes it as "partial 16S ribosomal RNA". It matches the Rfam family "Bacterial small subunit ribosomal RNA", at positions 28 to 507 of the family's 1533-position model. The record is from RNAcentral.
GAUGAACGCUGGCGGCGUGCCUAAUACAUGCAAGUCGAGCGAACAGACGAGGAGCGUGCUCCUCUGACGUGAGCGGCGGACGGGUGAGUAACACGUGGAUAACCUACCUAUAAGACUGGGAUAACUUCGGGAAACCGGAGCUAAGACCGGAUAACAUGUUGAACCGCAUGGUUGAAAAGUGAAAGACGUGCUUGCUGUCACUUAUAGAUGGAUCCGCGCCGCAUUAGCUAGUUGGUAAGGUAACGGCUUACCAAGGCAACGAUGCGUAGCCGACCGGAGAGGGUGAUCGGCCACACUGGAACUGAGACACGGUCCAGACUCCUACGGGAGGCAGCAGUAGGGAAUCUUCCGCAAUGGGCGAAAGCCUGACGGAGCAACGCCGCGUGAGUGAUGAAGGUCUUCGGAUCGUAAAACUCUGUUAUUAGGGAAGAACAAAUGUGUAAGUAACUAUGCACGUCUUGACGGUACCUAAUCAGAAAGCCACGGCUAACUACGUG